GACGAACCGUGCGAACGUUGUUCGGAAUCACUGGGCGUAAAGCGCACGUAGGCGGCUUUCUAAGUCAGGGGUGAAAUCCUGGAGCUCAACUCCAGAACUGCCUUUGAUACUGGAGAGCUUGAGUCCGGAAGAGGUGAGUGGAACUCCGAGUGUAGAGGUGAAAUUCGUAGAUAUUCGGAAGAACACCAGUGGCGAAGGCGGCUCACUGGUCCGGUACUGACGCUGAGGUGCGAAAGCGUGGGGAGCAAACAGG
RNAcentral lists this ribosomal RNA (253 nucleotides) under uncultured bacterium. Its description in RNAcentral is "partial 16S ribosomal RNA". It matches the Rfam family "Bacterial small subunit ribosomal RNA", at positions 524 to 776 of the family's 1533-position model. The record is from RNAcentral.